CGGGUGACCUAUCCAUGAGCAGGUUGAAGUGGAGGUAAAGCUCCAUGGAGGACCGAACCAGACGUCUGUUGAAAAAGGCGGGGAUGACUUGUGGAUAGGGGAGAAAUUCCAAUCGAACCCGGAGAUAGCUGGUUCUCCUCGAAAUAGCUUUAGGGCUAGCCUCAUGGAUCAUUGGUGGGGGUAGAGCACUGAAUGUGCGCGGGGGCCACAAAGCCUACCAAACGCUAUCAAACUUCGAAUACCAUACAAUGCAGACCAUGGGAGUCAGUCCGCGAGAGAUAAGUUCCGCGGGCAAAAGGGGAACACCCCAGAUCAACCGCUAAGGUCCCCAAGUUCACGUUAAGUGGAGAAGGAUGUGGAAUUGCACAGACAACCAGGAUGUUGGCUCAGAAGCAGCCACACAUUUAAAGAGUGCGUAAUAGCUCACUGGUCGAGUGAUUGUGCGCCGAAGAUGUCCGGGGCUAAACGUGACACCGAAGCGAUGGGUGCAUCUGAAAGGAUGCGCGGUAGAGGAGCAAUGUGCAGAGGCAGAAGCCGUAUCGAGAGGCACGGUGGACACUGCACAAGAGAGAAUGCCGGUAUGAGUAGCGAGAGGCAUGCGAGAAACAUGCCCGUCGAAAGCCCAAGGUUUCCUGGGGAAGGUUCAUCCGCCCAGGGUAAGUCGGGGCCUAAGCCGAGGACGGAAGUCGUAGGCGAUGGACAGCAGGUGUAGAUUCCUGCACUACCGAUGGAAUGAAGCAGUGACACAGAAGGAUAACUCGAGCAGGGUGAUGGUCAACCCUGUGCAAGCAUCAAGGUUGGGUUGUAGUGAAGUACGCAAUCCUAUAAGCUGAGGUGUGAUGCGGACCGAAAUUUCAGUAGGGAAGCGAGUGAGUUCACGCUGGCGAGAAAAGCUGCUAGUACAUCCAAAGGUACCCGUACCGGAAACCGACGCAGGUGGGCGAGGAGAGAAUCCUGAGACGAACGGGAGAACCCUUGUUAAGGAACUCGGCAAAAUGACCCCGUAACUUCGGGAUAAGGGGUGCCUGCGAGAGCAGGCCGCAGAGAAUAGUCACAAGCGACUGUUUAGCAAAAACACAGGUAUCUGCGAAAGCGAGAGCUGACGUAUAGGUGCUGACACCUGCCCGGUGCUGGAAGGUUAAGGGAACAUGUUAGAGCAAUCGAAGCAUCGAACCGAAGCCCCAGUAAACGGCGGCCGUAACUAUAACGGUCCUAAGGUAGCGAAAUUCCUUGUCGGGUAAGUUCCGACCCGCACGAAUGGUGUAACGACUUGUGAGCUGUCUCAACAGGGGGCCCGGUGAAAUUGAAGUAUGGGUGAAGAUGCCCAUUACCCGCGACUGGACGGAAAGACCCCGUAGAGCUUUACUGCAGCCUGAUAUUGAGUUUCGGUAACUGAUGCACAGGAUAGGUGGGAGUCUGAGAGACAUGGGUUUCGGCUCGUGUGGAGACGAUGUUGGGAUACCACUCUUCGGUUACUGAAAUUCUAACAUAGCUCUGUGAAACCAGAGGAUGGACAGUGUCAGGUGGACAGUUUGACUGGGGCGGUCGCCUCCGAAAGA
This 1559-nucleotide ribosomal RNA is filed under the name human gut metagenome. Its description in RNAcentral is "bacterial LSU rRNA". It matches the Rfam family "Bacterial large subunit ribosomal RNA", at positions 722 to 2296 of the family's 2925-position model. The record is from RNAcentral.